Molecule: ribosomal RNA, 451 nt
Filed under: uncultured bacterium
Lineage: Bacteria
Description: bacterial SSU rRNA
Rfam family: Bacterial small subunit ribosomal RNA
Source: RNAcentral
AACGAACGCUGGCGGCAGGCCUAACACAUGCAAGUCGAACGCCCUAGCAAUAGGGAGUGGCAGACGGGUGAGUAACACGUGGGAACCUUCCCUAUAGUACGGAAUAGCUCAGGGAAACUUGAAGUAAUACCGUAUACGCCCGAGAGGGGAAAGAUUUAUCGCUAUAGGAUGGGCCCGCGUCGGAUUAGCUAGUUGGUGAGGUAAUGGCUCACCAAGGCGACGAUCCGUAGCUGGUUUGAGAGAACGACCAGCCACACUGGGACUGAGACACGGCCCAGACUCCUACGGGAGGCAGCAGUGGGGAAUAUUGGACAAUGGGCGCAAGCCUGAUCCAGCCAUGCCGCGUGGGUGAUGAAGGCCUUAGGGUUGUAAAGCUCUUUUAGCAGGGAAGAUAAUGACUGUACCUGCAGAAUAAGACUCCGGCUAACUUCGUGCCAGCAGCCGCGGUAAU